UCGCUACUACCGAUUGAAUGGCUUAGUGAGGCCUCAGGAGGAAAUCUUUGAUGGUGGCAACACCGACAUUGCGUUCCGAAUUUGGACAAACUUGGUCAUUUAGAGGAAGUAA
This 112-nucleotide ribosomal RNA is filed under the name uncultured eukaryote. RNAcentral describes it as "partial small subunit ribosomal RNA". It matches the Rfam family "Eukaryotic small subunit ribosomal RNA", at positions 1676 to 1785 of the family's 1831-position model. The record is from RNAcentral.